AAGAGAAGAAUCUAUCUAGCCAGCCAAGGGAGAUUGCCUAAAGCCACCACAGGUUUCCAAUCAUUGCUUAGAAAACAAAGUCCAUUAGAGCAAGCAAGCCAUCCUUGGCAAUUAAAAAAGGCUCUCAAUU
RNAcentral lists this microRNA precursor (130 nucleotides) under Punica granatum (pomegranate). Lineage: Eukaryota; Viridiplantae; Streptophyta; Magnoliopsida; Myrtales; Lythraceae. The record is from RNAcentral.